This is an RNA transcript of Zingiber officinale, 1614 nucleotides long. It is a transcript of the gene named GLABROUS1 enhancer-binding protein-like 1, with no coding region annotated. NCBI's taxonomy places the organism in Eukaryota, Viridiplantae, Streptophyta, Magnoliopsida, Zingiberales, Zingiberaceae. The record is from RefSeq and is a predicted model, not a curated record. The transcript has 4 exons.
UCGCAUUCUAAAACCCUAACUUUGGGGUCUGACCGUCUCGUAUCCUAUCCUUGAUAUGGCCCCCGGAACUUCCUUCGCUGUUGGAGGCGUCGAUCCAUCCCCGGCCAAAAGGAAGCGACAACGGGUUAGAGGAGACGACUCUAAUUCUUCUCAGCGAUCUUCCAAGUCAGAUCAUGUGGCCAUCCUCCGUGCCGCAAUCGAGUUUCGGAACCAGACUGGAGAGAACCCAACUAAGGCUAAAAUGCCCGCUUUCUACGAGUUCGUUAAAACUUCUCUCGCAGAACCGCUCUCGCAGGAGCAGAUCAGCAACAGGUUGCGCCAUAUCCGCCAUAGGUUCAUUCAUUCGGACAUGGAUAACACCGAAGACACUGUCCUCAAGCUAGCCGGGCAGCUUUGGUAUGAGGAGAAAGAUAUGGACAAGGGGAAGGAGGAGAAGACGGGACCGAAGAGCAGUAAAGAGAGAAGACAGAAGAAUUCCAUUGCAGUUGACAGCAAUCCACAUGUGGAAAAACGAUACAGUGAGCAGGGAGUGGAUAACACAGUGGAAAAGAGCCACAAUAAAGAGAGAAGACAGAAGAAUUCCAUCGCAGUUGAGGGAUAUCAGAAUGCGGAGAAAGAAGACAAUGAGAAAGGAAAGAUGGGAGUGGGGAACACGGUGGAAAAGAACCACCAGCAUAAGUGCAGCAGCAAAUCUAUCACUGAGUUGGACAGAAAUGCUGAGAAAGAAAGUGGUAAGAAGAACAUCAAAAAAACAAUCAACAAUCCACAAGACUUUGAUGCUGUUGAAGAAGAGAAUCAAGAAAAGAAAAGAGGGAUUCAAGCAGAGCCCAAAUUUUCUUAUUUAGCUCAUAUUGUCAAAGACUAUUGGAAGACUUACGGAUUGAGCAAAACAUUGUUGGAAAUAGGGAUAAAAAAUGUUGACCCACAAAAGGCUGGUUUUUUGGAGGAGAAAUGGGAAAAACAAUUACAAGAAGAGAUGAGAUUUCAGUCGGAAUGGAGGAAGACCUGUGGGGAACUUUUAGCCAUGUUGUUGAAAGCGCAUAAAGACUCGGAUUCUAAAUCAGACUCGGAUUCGGAUUCUACGUUCUUUGCCAUAAGAGCUAAGUGACUUACUGCAUUGGUUCUUCUGCAUCCAACUCCUCCGAUGAUGCGUUCUUUGCCAUAAGAGCUAAGUGACUUACUGCAUUGGUUCUUCUGCAUCCGACUCCUCCGAUGAUGAUUCAUUCCAAGUGACUUUGAGUGCUUUCCUUCUUGCAGACUUGGAUUUCUUCUCUUUCAGGUUAGGGCACUCGUGCUUGUAGUGACCCUUUUUGUUACACCCUAGCAGAUUCACAUGUCAGUGGCGGACACCCCACUAUUGUUCUUAGAGGAGAAUAACAAUUCUUCCAUCGGAGGCACGUUUGGUUGUUUAUAUUGGGGUUUCGGUUUGACUUGGAGAUAUAUUCAUAGUAGUUUUUUUGGUGUGGAACUUGAUUUGUUGACAAUUGCUGGGACAGCAUGUCGGUGUUUAAAUUUAACCAUAGUUUGUUGUGGUGACAUGGCAUGUCGGUGUUUCUCUACUGAUUUAUGUCUGUUUAGUGAAUACACUAAUGUUUAUCUUUUGUGAUCUGAGUA